CAGUAGGGAGGGGAGCGCCAGCGGGAGGGAAGCAAACGGCGGGACCAGCGGCGGCGGUAGCAGCAGUAUGGCCGCGCUCUACGGGGGUGUGGAGGGGUCUUCAGUGACCUCUUUCUGAUAUUCCUGAAAAUGCUGAUCAGUGAAGAAGCACUCAUCACAACACCACAGACCUCGCUCCAAGCUACCAUUUCCCCAGGGGAGGCACACGGUCCAAGGUCCUUUUACUCUCAGAGGAUGGGCAGAUCCUGGCAGAAGCGGAUGGACUCAGCACAAACCACUGGCUGAUCGGGACGGACAAGUGUGUGGAGAGGAUCAACGAGAUGGUGAACAGGGCCAAACGGAAAGCAGGGGUGGAUCCUCUGGUACCUCUACGAAGCUUGGGCCUAUCCCUGAGCGGUGGGGAUCAGGAGGACGCGGUGAGGAUCCUGAUGGAGGAGCUGAGGGACCGAUUUCCCUACCUGAGUGAAAGCUACUUAAUCACCACCGACGCGGCCGGCUCCAUCGCCACAGCUACGCCGGAUGGUGGCAUCGUGCUCAUCUCUGGGACAGGCUCCAACUGUAGGCUUAUCAACCCCGAUGGCUCUGAGAGUGGCUGUGGCGGCUGGGGCCACAUGAUGGGAGAUGAAGGCUCAGCCUACUGGAUUGCACACCAAGCAGUGAAAAUAGUGUUUGACUCUAUUGACAACCUAGAGGCGGCGCCUCACGACAUUGGCUACGUCAAACAGGCCAUGUUCAACUAUUUCCAGGUGUUUAGGACACAGCUGCCUUUAGCUGAACCAGAGGUGACAGGUGGGAGAGGAGAAGGGAGGUGAGCUUAUUUGAUAGAUGUGUCUCCAGAUGAAGGCCACUCAGGUGAGCUGGGGCUGGAGCCAAGGAUGAUUCAAGCUGCUGGAAAGUAAGGUUUGUGUUCUCUUGUGUUCUCAAGGCUUAGGGAUUGAUGAUGAAAGAGGGAUUCUGGCCUGGGCCAAAGAAAGGAAUGGGGAGGGACCAGGAAGAGAACUCACUUCCUAGAGCGUUGCUGUUGCGAGUGGAGUUAAGCUGUCCAGACUCAGCAGAUUGGAUCUGAACUCCACUAAUAUGUCUACUACUGCUUCUCUUAUCUUUCAACCAUGAAGUUGUUAGAGGUUAGAUGACAUAGUGCGUCUAACACAAUAUGUUGCUGUAGAUGCUCCAAUUUUAGCCCCCUACUCCCUCUUCCAUUUUGGUAAUUAUUCUAGGGAGUCUCUGCUUCCUGAGGACCUUCAAAGGCAUUACAGGUGCCAGAUCGGCUAGGAAUCCUCACCCACCUGUAUAGGGACUUCGAUAAAUGCAGGUUUGCUGGCUUCUGCCGGAAAGUUGCAGAAGGUGCUCAGCAGGGAGACCCCCUCUCCCGCUAUAUCUUCAGGAAGGCAGGGGAGAUGCUGGGCAGACACGUUGUGGCAGUGCUGCCUGAGAUCGACCCGGUCUUGUUCCAAGGGGAGAUUGGCCUCCCCAUCCUGUGUGUGGGCUCUGUGUGGAAGAGCUGGGAGCUGCUGAAGGAAGGUUUCCUUUUGGCGCUGACCCAGGGCAGAGAAAUCCAGGCUCAGAACUCCUUCUCCAGCUUCACCCUGAUGAAGCUGCGGCACUCGUCCGCCCUGGGCGGGGCCAGCCUAGGCGCCAGGCACAUUGGGCACCUCCUCCCCAUGGACUACAGUGUCAAUGCCGUUGCCUUCUACUCCUAUGCCUUCUCCUAGGGGGUGGCCCCGGCUCCACCCGCUCCAAGCCCAGGGGACAUUGGGUGCCGGAAGACAGGAGGGUUUUUCUCCUUUUCCUUUUUUUUUUUUUUUUAAAGAAACAUAGAGAAAAUAAAUGCACUUUACCCACUCCCCAGUUGGAUUAUGUUAUCAAGCACAUCUGCUGUGUACAUCCCCAGCUCACCCACCAACAGGCAUCCCAGAAGGCUCAGAAAUGGGUUUAGCCCAGGGUUUACAGCCCUGCUCCCAGGCGCUUGGCCUGUGGUCUGUAAUCUGCUCACCAGGCAGGUAGGCAGAUAAUUUAUCUAUAUGCUGCCCCUGCCCCCCACAUUAGGUACUUCUGCGCCUUGUGGCUGCCUGUGAUCUCAAUUUUCUCUUAUCAAAGUGGGUUAAGAACCCUGCCUGACCAUUUUCAGUGGAACUAAGUGUUCUCCAUGUAAAACAUGACCAGGAGUAACCUUAGAUGUAUCAUGCCAUCUCUGGAUCGUCCCAGUAGGAUUUAGGGAACAGGGUACAGUUCUAAUCUGGAAGAAUUUUUACCUCACUGGAUUUGGUACUUACAGGUCAACAGCAUAUUUUGCAGUUUUUCUGCUUGAAUGAGUUCUGAAGAGGCUGAGACCCAAGAAGUCCAACUAGGCACAAGUAGGUGACUUCCUUCUUCCUGGUGCCUGCCAGCCUGGCUCUGGUUACAGGAUAACACUGUUGUGUGGCACCGGGAAUGAUGAACAUCCCUGAAGAGCAGACCUGAUUCCCGUCCUCUGGAUCCUGCAGUUGGAUCAGUGAAGAUGAGCCCAAAGCUUCCUGUUCUGCUCAUGCUACUUGGCAAAGACUGAAGACAGAGUUCUUGAUCCACAGUGGCUGCCUCUCCAGGUGUCUGGAGUGUAAGCCUUUAGAAGGCAUGUUCUAAACAUCAGUUCUCAGACUUCUGUCAGUCACUUAUAGGCUUGUUUUAAACUCAGAUUUCUAUUUUUCCCCCUUCCAUAAGGUGUUUAAUUCAGAUGGGUCAAGGAUGAGAUGAGACAGGGAAUUUUCACUUCUGCUAAAUACCUUGGGUAAUUUCUCCUGCAGAUGUCCAGGAUCUGCACUUGAGGGAGCUCUGCCCAGUCACUUCGGAGUUCGGAUUAGGCUCUCAAGAGGGUUUGAAUGUGUUUCCCAAGUCAGAGGACGCUGUUAAUUCACUGUCUAAAACAGAAUGGUAGCAGCUCUCCCAUCAGCUCUAGCACAACACAGCAAUGGGAACUCAAGCCAAGUCCCUUCUGAAGGAACAAUCAGCCCUCUUCACAUCUAGGUGUGGUCCAGACCGCUGGGGUCCAGCUCUCCGCAAGUCUCCAGUACGUCACCUGCUAAAAAGCCGCAGAACAGGAACACAGCAGAGUGCUUUGCUCUGUCUCACAGUCCUGGUAACACUUACUAAUGAGCAGUGAGUUUUACAGGUCUCUACAUGAUCUCAGGACCAGGAUCAAGCAGCAUUUUAUUUAUUUUUUGUCUCUGCCAUUUCUUGGGCUGCUCCCGUGGCAUAUGGAGGUUCCCAGGCUAGGGGUCUAAUCGGAGCUGUAGCCACCAGCCUAUGCCAAAGCCACAGCAACAUGGGAUCCGAGCCGCGUCUGCAACCUACACCACAGCUCAUGACAACGCCGGAUCCUUAACCCGCUGAGCAAGGCCAGGGAUCGAACCCGCAACCUCAUGGUUCCUAGUCUGGUUCGUUAACCACUGCGCCAUGAUGGGAACUCCUCAAACAGCAUUAGAUUUAGAAUCUGAAACUAUUGAUGGAGUUCCCAUUGUGGCUCAGCAGGUUAAGGACCCAACAUUUGUCUCCAUGAGGAUAUGGAUUCAAUCCCUGGCCUCACUCAGUAGGUUAAGGAUCUGGCAUUGCCACAGGCCAAGGCAUAGGUCACAGAUGUGGCGUCGAGCUGCUGUGGCUGUGGCUGUGGCGCAGGCCUCAGCUGUAGCUCCGUUUUGACCCCUAGCCCAGAAACUUCCAUAUGCUGCAGGUGUGGCCCUAAAAAGCAGAAAAAGAAAAAACAAAAAAACCCUGAAAAACAACAAACUAUUGAUGAAGAAUUUAUAAAUAAGAGACAUUUAUGCUUUUCGGGGUGCAGCUGUCACUUCCAUUGUCCAGGCUCUACUAGUCAAUUGGACAAUGGAGGUUUUAGAGCACAGAAAGGAGCACAGCUUGAUUGAUUUUUUUCAGUGCCAGCGAGGAAGUGUUCACUAAAUAUUCGUUGAAAAAAUGACAGUUUUUUUUUUUUUUUAAUCUUUUUGCCUUUUCUGGGGCCGCUCCUGCGGCAUAUGGAGGUUCCCAGGCUAGGUGUUUAAUCGGAGCUGUUGCUGCCGGCCUACGCCAGAGCCACAGCAACACCAGAUCCGAGCUGCGUCUGCGACCUACACCAGCUCAGAGCAACGCGGGAUCCUUAACCCACUGAGCAAGGCCAGGGAUCGAACCCGCAACCUCAUGGUUCCUAGCCGGAUUUGUUAACCACUGAGCCAGGACAGGAACUCCAAAUGAAGACAGUAUUAAAGCACACAAGGUCAGAUGUGUUCCUGUUUCCUUUGGCUAAUGGAGAUGUGAUGGGGUAGUUUAUUCAGUUAGUCAGGCUCUGUUACACAGAGGUUGCAGUGCAGAAGGUCAUAAGUGAUUUUUGAUGAGAUUCUCCACCUUUCAUUUUAAAUUUAUAAUCUUCCCUAAUAAGAGAUCAGGAGCGAUUAAUGGGAUUCUGUCCUACCAUGGCAUUGGAUAUGUAUAUAGUCAUCUCAUCUGAGCUUAUAACAGCCUUUUGACACACAGGAGAGCUUGGGACAAGAAGUGGACUUGGAGAGGCCGGCGCUGCCUUCGAUCUACCCGUGUGAUCUUUGGACAGCACAACCUCAUCUGUGCCAUCCACUCAGCAAACAUUUAUUGAAUGUCUUCUGUGAUGCGUGUUCUAUGGAUUUUUAAUCUAAGGAUUAAAAAUGAGUAUAUAUCCUUACAUAUACCAACAGAAAGUUGGUGAAAAUUUAUGGAACUGCACUGUUUACAAUAGCUACACUUUUCUGUAAUGUGCUGUACUUAAGUUUAAAUUUUAAAUGAAUGAAUACACCACAUCUUCAAAGCUGUGAAUAGUUCUGGCCCUGUAUACACCUAGCUGUCAUAUCUCAAAAAGCUAUAAACUGGCAAGUCAGCUCAGAUUUUUUCCUAAAACCUGAUUAUAGGAAGGAAAUAAGGGAAUGGCAGCACUCAAAGCAAAAACCCAUAGGCUAUGGUCUGGUCCUAUGACUUUUUUUUUUUUUUUUUUUUUUUUUAACCAUGUAAUAAAGUCCCUCAGAGAAUCGUUGGUAGGUUCAAACUAGGUGUAAACUGAAUAAGCAGGAGUUACCAAACUGACCUCCACAAGACCAAAGAUGAUGCCUGCUUGCUAACCCCAGCAGUUCUGGUACCCACGACAGUGCUUGGUACCUAGCAGGCUUGCCAGCUUGUUCAGUAGUUGAAAGGCAGAUACAGAAUCCCUUUCCUUAUGUUCAUGAUAGGAGGCGGUUUUGCCCAGGAACAGGAAAUAACAGCUAUCCAGUCUCCCUUCAAGCCCAAGGAUACACACAUUAUUGCCACUAUUACCACCAUGAAUUAAGUGCUUAUUAUAUGCCAGGCAGUAUUUUGAAGUUAAAUUUGGUCUCCUUUUCUUAAUAGCCCCAGGAGGAAGGUGUCACCCUUUUACAAAUAAACAGGUUCAGGACAAAGGCACAAAAGAAAUGGUGGAGGUGGGAUUCACUCAGAUCUGUGACUUUCAAGACAAUGCUUUUACUACUUUGCAACACUGUUUAGAAUGGGAAACUAUGCAACUAAAACUAAUCCAUACAGAGACCAAAACAAUCUCUCAAAUAUCCACCACAUAUUCACCCACUUGUAACAUGAAACAAUGACCCAACCAUAGGAAAAGAUACCACUGCUGGCAAGUGCAUUUUAUUCUCAUUUUAAUGAGAUUUUCAACAGCUGCCAUUUGGUUUGUAUAGCAAAUUUUUAAAAAAGUAACCUUGUUUCCAUUUUUGAUAUUUUUAUGAAAAUUAUUUAAUUUGAAAGCCCUGCCCCAUCCCCCAAAGAAGUAUUAAUAACUACCAUGUAAUGUGUAUUUAGGAAAAAGAAGAAACGAAAACAGCUUUAAACACUUGAAAAAUAGGGAUGAAGGGCCGAAGUCCAGACCUGGGCCUGUUGGAGGUGCUAAAGCUGCCUGGCACCAUCCACACCUCACCAUCAGCCACACCAGCAGAUGUGUCAGCCGUGCACAGACCCACUGGGAUGACCACAAAGUCCACUCCCUCUCUCCUCUUGACCUCUGCUGGCUGGCCUCUUUUCUUCCAAAUCGGUCUGACAAAGGCAGCAUCACCUUUAAUACAUGUUCAGCUUUGUCAUGGAGAUGACAGAGAAGAGCGUUCAGAGAUUCCUCCAUAAUCAGGGAGGAAAAAGUGUCCAACACAGUACUGAUGGUUUCACUUUCUUCUCUGCUCAAACACAUGCUCAUUAACUUUUUAAAUUAUCAGAGGCUUCAGAAGCCCUGACAGGUAGACAGCACAAAAGUUUCAUAUAAAAAAGAAGUUGCAAAAUUAUAAAAAUUUCUGCAGCGAUUCUGGAGGUUCUGAUGAGCAGUUCUUCUGAAACGCACAGCAGCUUCCCCAUGAGUCCUAUGUUCUGAGGGUUUCAUUUAGAACACAAGAGCUUGAAAUCCAAGUUUAAAAAACUCCCUGCUGACAAAUGUGGUGUAUUGAUGGAACAUUAUUCACAAUAAAAAAGGAGAAAGCUACUAACACAAGUUAGACAUCAUGGAUGAACCUUGAAAAUAUGCCAAGUGAAAAAAGCCAGAUACAAGAGACCACAUUUUGUAUGAUUCCAUUAAGAUGAUGUCCAGAAAAGGCAGACAUAGAUACAAAUUAGUCGUUGCCUAGAGCUAGGAACAGGUAUUAUGUAAAGAUGCAUGAAAGAUCUUAUUGGAGGGAAUGAAAGUGUCCUAAAACUGAGAACUGCAUGGUUGCACCACUCAGGAAAGUUACUAAAAUCACUGAACUGUACACUUGAAAUGGGUGAAUUUUAUAUGUAAGAUGUGCCUCAAUAAAGUUGCUGAAAAAAAAAGUCCCUGCUUCCCAAACCACCCAUUAAGCAUUAAACAUUUCUCAAGGUUCAUAAUCAAUAGGACAGGAUUAUCACUUAGCGUUGAGUUAUGGAGUGAACAUAGUACAUAGUCUAGUAUGUUACUUCAUUAUUUAUAAUAUUAAAAUGAAAGGAAGUCAGUGAGAAGGUAAGAUUGGCAGAAAAAGCUCAGCGGGCUCCACAAAUGAGACUCCAAUAACGAAAUCUAAAGGGGCUUUUUUUUUUUUUUUUUUUUAAGGCUGCAUGUGCGGCACAUGGAGGUUCCCAGGCUAGGGGUCGAACUGGCCUACACCAGAGCCACAGCAAUGCCAGAUCCAAGUUGCAUCUGCGACCUACACCAUAGCUCACGGCAGUGCAGAAUCCUUAACCCACUAAGCGAGACCAGGGAUUGAACCCCAGUCCUCAUGAAUACUAGUGGGGUUCGUUACCACUGCACCACAAUAGAAAUUCUAAAGGGAGCUUUUUCUUUUAGAAUAAAGAUGGCAUGUCUGUCCCUUUGUAGAUUUCUCUUCUGUCCCCCAAGGGUAGGGUGGUGAAUCUCUUGGCUAACACGCUAUUGAGAUCACUGACCUAUUGUAUGACCCUCCUCUCCCUGCAAAUCCAGACUGGGGACAACAGUAGGGGGUUGGGCAGUGAGGGCAGAGGCCAAACAGCAAGCAGAAAACUUGAGUGUUUCCUUGGUCAGCCUCCUGUCCCCUGUCCUUUGUCACUAAGUGCACCUUCAAGAUGGAAGAAAUAAAGACAGAAGAUUAAAAACAAAGGCAAAAAAAAAAAAAAAAAAGAAAAGAAAAAGCCUUCAAGAUUGUGACUAACCACGUCUGUGGGUGAAAUUCACAAAGCAGUAGAGCAGUGGCUACAGAAAGUACUCUGCUACUGACUACCCACGUGCCAGAAUUAAUGAUCUCUGUGUGCAAUGAGAGGGGAAAUGAUUCACAUGGGGGUGCUGGAGGCAGAGGCAGGAGGAGAUCAAGGUUCCCAAGGUUCACCAGAUCCUUGUCAACCCUGUUCUCUUUACCCGCUUCCCAAACUACUGAGGGCUGCGAUUAGACCAGGGGAGGGUGGCUGGGGAUAGAGCCUUUCCCAAAAGGUGCAUGUCUCCAAAUCCUGCUCAGAUCUGUCAGGUCUCUGCCUAAUCUCAGAACUCAGCAUAUCCUAAACCAAGCAACGUUAUUAACUUGUGACGCCGGGACCCUUAUCCAAGAACACCUGUCCCCUCCAAUCCCAGCAGUGCAGAUUCCUCGGCUCUUGAUGUGUGUAAAUGGGCUCUGCAGCAGCACUAAUGCAAGAAGAUCCAAGACGCAGUCAAGCUGUUUGCUUUGGCUGCCUCUUCACACAACUUCCCUCUCUUGACAUGUACUAAAUUCCACUCUGAGGUCAGAGUGUUUGACUGACCUUACUUCCCAGCCUCUCCAAAAUCAAGACAGAACUUUGACAUUACGGCAAUACACAAUUUGAAAAAUGCUGAUUAUUUCACUAAAGACAUUUAGUACUGUAACUGUAAUUAAAGAGAUCCUGGCUGUUUUGAUUUGGGAAACUAAAGGUGUUGCAAAAGUCGAGCCUUUUUCUUACCAUCUUUUUGGGUCUGACCUUAUAGGAUCCCCAAAAUCAAAUGCUGUGGUGGAAAACUUGUCCAAAGACCCAGAGCUGCAGGUGCCUAGGCUGUAUCCAUCAAGUGUUCUGCUACAGUUCAAAGGGCUGGAGAAACUGAAAACGUAUUUCUUUUUUUCCUCCCCCUUGAAGAGCAAGAGAUAAAAAUGAUUUUCAUUUUGGAGUUUUAGAGUCCAGUAAUCACAAAAGUCAGAAAUCAAUCACUAACAAAGUUGACACUUGGACCAGCCAGAAUUGGCAACUGGCAAUAUUCUCUUUUUUUUUUUAAGGGCCUCACCUACGGCAUAUAGAAGUUCCCAGGCCAGGGGUCAAAUCGGAGCUGCAGCUGCUGGCCUAUGCCAUAGCCACAGCAACGUGGGAUCCAAGCCUCGUCUGCAACCUACACUACCACUCACGACAACACUGGAUCCUUAACCCACUGAGCGAGGCCAGGGAUUGACCCCACUUGGAUACUAGUCGGAUUCAUUUCCACUGUACCACAAUGGGAACUCCAGCAAUAUUGUUUCAAAAUUCCAGUUG
Molecule: non-coding RNA, 8952 nt
Organism: Sus scrofa (pig)
Lineage: Eukaryota; Metazoa; Chordata; Mammalia; Artiodactyla; Suidae
Source: RefSeq, a predicted model, not a curated record